Molecule: unclassified non-coding RNA, 367 nt
Filed under: Hevea brasiliensis (rubber tree)
Lineage: Eukaryota; Viridiplantae; Streptophyta; Magnoliopsida; Malpighiales; Euphorbiaceae
Source: RNAcentral
GUGUUUCUUAUAGCUAUUUUUCAUCAUUGCUUCAAGAGAAAUGAAUGAGCAUUUUUGUUACACAAAGGUUCAAACUUAAAAGCAAUGGUGUCGCUUUGCAGUUCUGAUUUGGCAAGCUUUUUCACAUGCACUUGUGUUAGUCAAGUUCGUUAAAUUGGGGCUGAUGAAUGGCGGACUCCUCAGGGCCCUCUCAAAUGCAAUUGGUUACAUCAUUUGUGUUAGGAAAACGGUCACUUUCUUCUAUGAAAAUUGCUUCCACUCCUUUUCAUACACCAUAAAAAUGCUUCACUUAAUUUAUUAGUAGUUCAUGUGAUUUGGUGGGUUGGUGGUCAAGUUUUGAAUUGUCAAACAUCAACUUAGAAUAUGG